Molecule: ribosomal RNA, 440 nt
Filed under: uncultured bacterium
Lineage: Bacteria
Description: partial 16S ribosomal RNA
Rfam family: Bacterial small subunit ribosomal RNA
Source: RNAcentral
GCUACGGGCGGCAGCAGUGGGGAAUAUUGCACAAUGGGGGAAACCCUGAUGCAGCGACGCCGCGUGAGCGCUGAAGUAUUUCGGUAUGUAAAGCUCUAUCAGCAGGGAAGAAAAUGACGGUACCUGACUAAGAAGCCCAGGCUAACUACGUGCCAGCAGCCGCGGUACUACGUAGGGGGCCAGCGUUAUCCGGAUUUACUGGGUGUAAAGGGAGUGUAGACGGAGAUGCAAGCCCGUUGUGAAAGCCCGGGGCUCAACCCCGGGACUGCAGUUGGAAAUGUCUAGCUGGAGAGUCGGAGAGGCAGGCGGAAUUCCUAGUGUAGCGGUGAAAUGCGUAGAUAUUAGGAGGAAAACCAGUGGCGAAGGCGGCCUGCUGGACGAUGACUGACGUUGAGGCUCGAAAGCGUGGGGAGCAAACAGGAUUAGAUACCCGAGUAGUC